Molecule: non-coding RNA, 21 nt
Organism: Caenorhabditis elegans
Lineage: Eukaryota; Metazoa; Nematoda; Chromadorea; Rhabditida; Rhabditidae
Source: Ensembl
UUCUGAAUCGUAUGUUAUUCC